UUAAUAGUAGAAUUUGGGAAGAGUAGAUGGUUGUCUUUUUUUAGAGAGUGUACGUUUGCUGAGAGUACAUAAAAGGCGUUAUUGAAGGUAGCCCACGUUGAACUUUAGCUGAAAGUAAAGUAGGUUAAAGCGUGUUAUGAGCGUUAAUCGUAAGAGUGCAAUAGUGCGAAUGCAUUAUUGAAUUUAGGUGGUACCGCGGAACAUCCGUCCUAUGA
This 215-nucleotide non-coding RNA is filed under the name Staphylococcus sp. Its description in RNAcentral is "T-box sequence". It matches the Rfam family "T-box leader". From Rfam's summary of the family: Uncharged tRNA acts as the effector for transcription antitermination of genes in the T-box leader family. T-boxes are found upstream of many aminoacyl-tRNA synthetase genes and some amino acid biosynthetic genes usually in Gram-positive bacteria. The record is from RNAcentral. Lineage: Bacteria; Bacillati; Bacillota; Bacilli; Caryophanales; Staphylococcaceae.